RNAcentral lists this ribosomal RNA (459 nucleotides) under uncultured bacterium. RNAcentral describes it as "partial 16S ribosomal RNA". It matches the Rfam family "Bacterial small subunit ribosomal RNA", at positions 339 to 795 of the family's 1533-position model. The record is from RNAcentral.
CUACGGGACGCACCAGUGAGGAAUAUUGGACAAUGGGCGAGAGCCUGAUCCAGCCAUGCCGCGUGCAGGAAGACUGCCCUAUGGGUUGUAAACUGCUUUUAUACGGGAAGAAACACCGCUACGUGUAGCGGCUUGACGGUACCGUAAGAAUAAGGAUCGGCUAACUCCGUGCCAGCAGCCGCGGUAAUACGGAGGAUCCAAGCGUUAUCCGGAAUCAUUGGGUUUAAAGGGUCCGUAGGUGGAUAAUUAAGUCAGAGGUGAAAUCCUGCAGCUCAACUGUAGAAUUGCCUUUGAUACUGGUUGUCUUGAGUUAUUAUGAAGUAGUUAGAAUAUGUAGUGUAGCGGUGAAAUGCAUAGAUAUUACAUAGAAUACCAAUUGCGAAGGCAGAUUACUAAUAAUGAACUGACACUGAUGGACGAAAGCGUGGGGAGCGGACAGGAUUAGAUACCCUAGUAGUC